AAAAUACCAUUAAUUUUUAUGAACCCCUAAUUUAUAAUGAAUGACUCCAUAUUUAUAUGGAAGACACCAUGCUAGGAUUAGUAACAAGAAUUUAUAAUUCUCCAAAAUGCAAAUAUAAACCAACAUGGAUAGACCAUUGGUAGUUACCGAACCUAAAUUUAAUGCAAUAACAUCCACAAGAAAACUCUGCAGCACUCACUCGUUAACCUAACACCAGCGCAUUACAGGAAAGAUUCAAAAAAAGAGAAGGAAUUCGGCAAAUGACGGCCCCGCCUGUUUACCAAAAACAUCGCCUCUUGACUUAUAAUAAGAGGUCUAGCCUGCCCAGUGAAUUUUAAACGGCCGCGGUAUCCUAACCGCGCGAAGGUAGCAUAAUCACUUGUUCUUUAAAUGGGGACUCGUAUCAACGGCAUCACGAGGGUUUUACUGUCUCCUCUUUUUGAUCAGUGAAAUUGAUCUUCCCGUGAAGAAGCGGGAAUAUUUUUAUAAGACGAGAAGACCCCAUGGAGCUUUAAACCAAAUAACAACUUAACCACUUAUCCCAUAAUAAAUUUAACCCCUGUUAUAAGGUUUUUGGUUGGGGUGACCGCGGAGUAAAGCACAUCCUCCACGACGGAAAGAAUAAAAUCUUUAUUUAAGAACCACACUUCUAGAAAUUAGUAUACUAACGUUUACUGACCCGACAAUCGAUCAACGGACCAAGUUACCCUGGGGAUAACAGCGCAAUCUACUUCGAGAGCUCAUAUCGACAAGUAGGCUUACGACCUCGAUGUUGGAUCAGGGUAUCCCGGUGGUGCAGCCGCUACCGAAGGUUCGUUUGUUCAACGAUUAAAACCCUAC
This 840-nucleotide ribosomal RNA is filed under the name Polypedates leucomystax (Java whipping frog). RNAcentral describes it as "partial 16S ribosomal RNA". It matches the Rfam family "Bacterial large subunit ribosomal RNA", at positions 1530 to 2599 of the family's 2925-position model. The record is from RNAcentral. Lineage: Eukaryota; Metazoa; Chordata; Amphibia; Anura; Rhacophoridae.